CAAAGUGUAGCUUAUACCAAAGCACCUGGCCUACACCCAGAAGAUUCCAUACAAAAUGGCCACUUUGA
RNAcentral lists this transfer RNA (68 nucleotides) under Dobsonia praedatrix (New Britain naked-backed fruit bat). RNAcentral describes it as "tRNA-Val". Lineage: Eukaryota; Metazoa; Chordata; Mammalia; Chiroptera; Pteropodidae. The record is from RNAcentral.